This 301-nucleotide ribosomal RNA is filed under the name uncultured bacterium. RNAcentral's name for it is "partial 16S ribosomal RNA". It matches the Rfam family "Bacterial small subunit ribosomal RNA", at positions 509 to 807 of the family's 1533-position model. The record is from RNAcentral.
CAGUCGCCGCGGUAAUACGAAGGUCCCAAGCGUUGUUCGGAAUCACUGGGCGUAAAGGGAGCGUAGGCGGCGUGGUAAGUCAGAUGUGAAAUCCCGGGGCUCAACCCCGGAACUGCAUCCGAUACUGCCAUGCUUGAGGGUUGGAGAGGUGACUGGAAUUCUCGGUGUAGCAGUGAAAUGCGUGGAUAUCGAGAGGAACACUCGUGGCGAAGGCGAGUCACUGGACAACAUCUGACGCUGAGGCUCGAAGGCUAGGGUAGCGAAAGGGAUUAGAUACCCCAGUAGUCCCUGUCUCUUAUAC